AGUGAACGCUGGCGGUAGGCCUAACACAUGCAAGUCGAACGGCAGCACAGUAAGAGCUUGCUCUUACGGGUGGCGAGUGGCGGACGGGUGAGGAAUACAUCGGAAUCUACUUUUUCGUGGGGGAUAACGUAGGGAAACUUACGCUAAUACCGCAUACGACCUACGGGUGAAAGCAGGGGAUCUUCGGACCUUGCGCGAUUGAAUGAGCCGAUGUCGGAUUAGCUAGUUGGCGGGGUAACGGCCCACCAAGGCGACGAUCCGUAGCUGGUCUGAGAGGAUGAUCAGCCACACUGGAACUGAGACACGGUCCAGACUCCUACGAGAGGCAGCAGUGGGGAAUAUUGGACAAUGGGCGCAAGCCUGAUCCAGCCAUACCGCGUGGGUGAAGAAGGCCUUCGGGUUGUAAAGCCCUUUUGUUGGGAAAGAAAAGCAGCAGGUUAAUACCCCGCUGUUCUGACGGUACCCAAAGAAUAAGCACCGGCUAACUUCGUG
Molecule: ribosomal RNA, 492 nt
Filed under: uncultured bacterium
Lineage: Bacteria
Description: partial 16S ribosomal RNA
Rfam family: Bacterial small subunit ribosomal RNA
Source: RNAcentral